RNAcentral lists this ribosomal RNA (602 nucleotides) under Serratia sp. (in: enterobacteria). RNAcentral describes it as "bacterial SSU rRNA". It matches the Rfam family "Bacterial small subunit ribosomal RNA", at positions 62 to 653 of the family's 1533-position model. Lineage: Bacteria; Pseudomonadati; Pseudomonadota; Gammaproteobacteria; Enterobacterales; Yersiniaceae. The record is from RNAcentral.
UCGAGCGGUAGCACAGGAGAGCUUGCUCUCUGGGUGACGAGCGGCGGACGGGUGAGUAAUGUCUGGGAAACUGCCUGAUGGAGGGGGAUAACUACUGGAAACGGUAGCUAAUACCGCAUAACGUCUACGGACCAAAGUGGGGGACCUUCGGGCCUCACGCCAUCAGAUGUGCCCAGAUGGGAUUAGCUAGUAGGUGGGGUAAUGGCUCACCUAGGCGACGAUCCCUAGCUGGUCUGAGAGGAUGACCAGCCACACUGGAACUGAGACACGGUCCAGACUCCUACGGGAGGCAGCAGUGGGGAAUAUUGCACAAUGGGCGCAAGCCUGAUGCAGCCAUGCCGCGUGUGUGAAGAAGGCCUUAGGGUUGUAAAGCACUUUCAGCGAGGAGGAAGGGUUCAGUGUUAAUAGCACUGUGCAUUGACGUUACUCGCAGAAGAAGCACCGGCUAACUCCGUGCCAGCAGCCGCGGUAAUACGGAGGGUGCAAGCGUUAAUCGGAAUUACUGGGCGUAAAGCGCACGCAGGCGGUUUGUUAAGUCAGAUGUGAAAUCCCCGCGCUUAACGUGGGAACUGCAUUUGAAACUGGCAAGCUAGAGUCUUGUA